CCUACGGGUGGCAGCAGUGAGGAAUAUUGGUCAAUGGGCGGAAGCCUGAACCAGCCAAGUAGCGUGAGGGAUGAAGGCCCUACGGGUCGUAAACCGCUUUUGCAGGGGGAUAACACCCUCCACGCGUGGCGGUCCGCAGGUACCGUAUGAAAAAGCACCGGCUAAUUCCGUGCCAGCAGCCGCGGUAAUACGGAGGGUCCGGGCGUUAUCCGGAUUUAUUGGGUUUAAAGGGGGCGGAGGCGGGAGGACAAGUCUGCGGUUAAAUGUCGGGGCUCAACCCGGGCCUUGCCGGGGAAACUGGCGUUCUUGAGUGCGCGAGAAGCAUGCGGAAUGCGUGGUGUAGCGGUGAAAUGCUUAGAUAUGACGAAGAACCCCGAUUGCGAAGGCAGCAUGCCGGCGCUGAACUGACGCUGAUGCUCGAAAGCGUGGGUAUCGAACAGGAUUAGAUACCCUUGUAGUC
This 460-nucleotide ribosomal RNA is filed under the name uncultured bacterium. Its description in RNAcentral is "partial 16S ribosomal RNA". It matches the Rfam family "Bacterial small subunit ribosomal RNA", at positions 338 to 795 of the family's 1533-position model. The record is from RNAcentral.